RNAcentral lists this ribosomal RNA (2900 nucleotides) under Klebsiella pneumoniae. RNAcentral describes it as "23S ribosomal RNA". It matches the Rfam family "Bacterial large subunit ribosomal RNA". The record is from RNAcentral. Lineage: Bacteria; Pseudomonadati; Pseudomonadota; Gammaproteobacteria; Enterobacterales; Enterobacteriaceae.
UUAAGCGACUAAGCGUACACGGUGGAUGCCCUGGCAGUCAGAGGCGAUGAAGGACGUGCUAAUCUGCGAAAAGCGUCGGUAAGGUGAUAUGAACCGUUACAGCCGGCGAUGUCCGAAUGGGGAAACCCAGUGCAAUUCGUUGCACUAUCGUUAACUGAAUACAUAGGUUAACGAAGCGAACCGGGGGAACUGAAACAUCUAAGUACCCCGAGGAAAAGAAAUCAACCGAGAUUCCCCCAGUAGCGGCGAGCGAACGGGGAGCAGCCCAGAGUCUGAAUCAGCUUGUGUGUUAGUGGAACGGUCUGGAAAGUCCGACGGUACAGGGUGAUAGUCCCGUACACCAAAAUGCACAGGCUGUGAACUCGAAGAGUAGGGCGGGACACGUGGUAUCCUGUCUGAAUAUGGGGGGACCAUCCUCCAAGGCUAAAUACUCCUGACUGACCGAUAGUGAACCAGUACCGUGAGGGAAAGGCGAAAAGAACCCCGGCGAGGGGAGUGAAAAAGAACCUGAAACCGUGUACGUACAAGCAGUGGGAGCACCUUCGGGUGUGACUGCGUACCUUUUGUAUAAUGGGUCAGCGACUUAUAUUCUGUAGCAAGGUUAACCGUAUAGGGGAGCCGCAGGGAAACCGAGUCUUAACUGGGCGUUAAGUUGCAGGGUAUAGACCCGAAACCCGGUGAUCUAGCCAUGGGCAGGUUGAAGGUUGGGUAACACUAACUGGAGGACCGAACCGACUAAUGUUGAAAAAUUAGCGGAUGACUUGUGGCUGGGGGUGAAAGGCCAAUCAAACCGGGAGAUAGCUGGUUCUCCCCGAAAGCUAUUUAGGUAGCGCCUCGUGAACUCAUCUUCGGGGGUAGAGCACUGUUUCGGCUAGGGGGUCAUCCCGACUUACCAACCCGAUGCAAACUACGAAUACCGAAGAAUGUUAUCACGGGAGACACACGGCGGGUGCUAACGUCCGUCGUGAAGAGGGAAACAACCCAGACCGCCAGCUAAGGUCCCAAAGUCAUGGUUAAGUGGGAAACGAUGUGGGAAGGCACAGACAGCCAGGAUGUUGGCUUAGAAGCAGCCAUCAUUUAAAGAAAGCGUAAUAGCUCACUGGUCGAGUCGGCCUGCGCGGAAGAUGUAACGGGGCUAAACCAUGCACCGAAGCUGCGGCAGCGACACUAUGUGUUGUUGGGUAGGGGAGCGUUCUGUAAGCCUGCGAAGGUGUGCUGUGAGGCAUGCUGGAGGUAUCAGAAGUGCGAAUGCUGACAUAAGUAACGAUAAAGCGGGUGAAAAGCCCGCUCGCCGGAAGACCAAGGGUUCCUGUCCAACGUUAAUCGGGGCAGGGUGAGUCGACCCCUAAGGCGAGGCCGAAAGGCGUAGUCGAUGGGAAACAGGUUAAUAUUCCUGUACUUGGUGUUACUGCGAAGGGGGGACGGAGAAGGCUAUGUUAGCCGGGCGACGGUUGUCCCGGUUUAAGCAUGUAGGCUGGUUAUCCAGGCAAAUCCGGAUAAUCAAGGCUGAGGUGUGAUGACGAGGCACUACGGUGCUGAAGUAACAAAUGCCCUGCUUCCAGGAAAAGCCUCUAAGCAUCAGGUAACAUCAAAUCGUACCCCAAACCGACACAGGUGGUCAGGUAGAGAAUACCAAGGCGCUUGAGAGAACUCGGGUGAAGGAACUAGGCAAAAUGGUGCCGUAACUUCGGGAGAAGGCACGCUGGUGUGUAGGUGAAGCCCCUGCGGGUGGAGCUGAGACCAGUCGAAGAUACCAGCUGGCUGCAACUGUUUAUUAAAAACACAGCACUGUGCAAACACGAAAGUGGACGUAUACGGUGUGACGCCUGCCCGGUGCCGGAAGGUUAAUUGAUGGGGUUAUCCGUAAGGAGAAGCUCUUGAUCGAAGCCCCGGUAAACGGCGGCCGUAACUAUAACGGUCCUAAGGUAGCGAAAUUCCUUGUCGGGUAAGUUCCGACCUGCACGAAUGGCGUAAUGAUGGCCAGGCUGUCUCCACCCGAGACUCAGUGAAAUUGAACUCGCUGUGAAGAUGCAGUGUACCCGCGGCAAGACGGAAAGACCCCGUGAACCUUUACUAUAGCUUGACACUGAACAUUGAGCCUUGAUGUGUAGGAUAGGUGGGAGGCUUUGAAGCGUGGACGCCAGUCUGCGUGGAGCCAACCUUGAAAUACCACCCUUUAAUGUUUGAUGUUCUAACGUUGGCCCCUUACCGGGGUUGCGGACAGUGUCUGGUGGGUAGUUUGACUGGGGCGGUCUCCUCCCAAAGCGUAACGGAGGAGCACGAAGGUUAGCUAAUCCUGGUCGGACAUCAGGAGGUUAGUGCAAUGGCAUAAGCUAGCUUGACUGCGAGCGUGACGGCGCGAGCAGGUGCGAAAGCAGGUCAUAGUGAUCCGGUGGUUCUGAAUGGAAGGGCCAUCGCUCAACGGAUAAAAGGUACUCCGGGGAUAACAGGCUGAUACCGCCCAAGAGUUCAUAUCGACGGCGGUGUUUGGCACCUCGAUGUCGGCUCAUCACAUCCUGGGGCUGAAGUAGGUCCCAAGGGUAUGGCUGUUCGCCAUUUAAAGUGGUACGCGAGCUGGGUUUAGAACGUCGUGAGACAGUUCGGUCCCUAUCUGCCGUGGGCGCUGGAGAAUUGAGGGGGGCUGCUCCUAGUACGAGAGGACCGGAGUGGACGCAUCACUGGUGUUCGGGUUGUCAUGCCAAUGGCACUGCCCGGUAGCUAAAUGCGGAAGAGAUAAGUGCUGAAAGCAUCUAAGCACGAAACUUGCCCCGAGAUGAGUUCUCCCUGAGACUAUAAGUCUCCUGAAGGAACGUUAAAGACGAUGACGUUGAUAGGCCGGGUGUGUAAGCGCAGCGAUGCGUUGAGCUAACCGGUACUAAUGAACCGUGAGGCUUAACCUU